Molecule: unclassified non-coding RNA, 352 nt
Filed under: soil metagenome
Description: partial contains 5.8S ribosomal RNA, internal transcribed spacer 2, and large subunit ribosomal RNA
Rfam family: 5.8S ribosomal RNA (bases 1-120)
Source: RNAcentral
GAUGAAGAACGUAGCGAAAUGCGAAAAGUAAUGUGAAUUGCAGAAUUCAGUGAAUCAUCGAAUCUUUGAACGCACAUUGCGCCCGCCAGUAUUCUGGCGGGCAUGCCUGUUCGAGCGUCAUUACAACCCUCAGGCCCCCGGGCCUGGCGUUGGGGAUCGGCGGAGCCCCCCGUGGGCACACGCCGUCCCCCAAAUACAGUGGCGGUCCCGCCGCAGCUUCCAUCGCGUAGUAGCUAACACCUCGCGACUGGAGAGCGGCGCGGCCACGCCGUAAAACACCCAACUCUUCUGAAGUUGACCUCGAAUCAGGUAGGAAUACCCGCUGAACUUAAGCAUAUCAAUAAGCGGAGGA